AACCUACCGCGCAGUGGGGGAUAACGCUGGGAAACUGGCGCUAAGACCGCAUGCGGUCACCGGUCGAUGAGAGCGGUGACGAAAGCAGAGAUGUGCUGUGCGCGGGGCCUGCGUCCGAUUAGCUGGUUGGUGGGGUAACGGCCUACCAAGGCGACGAUCGGUAGCUGGUCUGAGAGGAUGGUCAGCCACACUGGGACUGAGACACGGCCCAG
This 212-nucleotide ribosomal RNA is filed under the name uncultured bacterium. Its description in RNAcentral is "partial 16S ribosomal RNA". It matches the Rfam family "Bacterial small subunit ribosomal RNA", at positions 123 to 334 of the family's 1533-position model. The record is from RNAcentral.